GCGGCGUGCUAUACAUGCAAGUAGAACGCUGAAGACUUUAGCUUGCUAAAGUUGGAAGAGUUGCGAACGGGUGAGUAACGCGUAGGUAACCUGCCUACUAGCGGGGGAUAACUAUUGGAAACGAUAGCUAAUACCGCAUAACAGCAUUUAACCCAUGUUAGAUGCUUGAAAGGAGCAAUUGCUUCACUAGUAGAUGGACCUGCGUUGUAUUAGCUAGUUGGUGAGGUAACGGCUCACCAAGGCGACGAUACAUAGCCAACCUGAGAGGGUGAUCGGCCACACUGGGACUGAGACACGGCCCAGACUCCUACGGGAGGCAGCAGUAGGGAAUCUUCGGCAAUGGGGGCAACCCUGACCGAGCAACGCCGCGUGAGUGAAGAAGGUUUUCGGAUCGUAAAGCUCUGUUGUAAGAGAAGAACGUGUGUGAGAGUGGAAAGUUCACACAGUGACGGUAACUUACCAGAAAGGGACGGCUAACUACGUGCCAGCAGCCGCGGUAAUACGUAGGUCCCGAGCGUUGUCCGGAUUUAUUGGGCGUAAAGCGAGCGCAGGCGGUUUAAUAAGUCUGAAGUUAAAGGCAGUGGCUUAACCAUUGUUCGCUUUGGAAACUGUUAGACUUGAGUGCAGAAGGGGAGAGUGGAAUUCCAUGUGUAGCGGUGAAAUGCGUAGAUAUAUGGAGGAACACCGGUGGCGAAAGCGGCUCUCUGGUCUGUAACUGACGCUGAGGCUCGAAAGCGUGGGGAGCAAACAGGAUUAGAUACCCUGGUAGUCCACGCCGUAAACGAUGAGUGCUAGGUGUUAGGCCCUUUCCGGGGCUUAGUGCCGCAGCUAACGCAUUAAGCACUCCGCCUGGGGAGUACGACCGCAAGGUUGAAACUCAAAGGAAUUGACGGGGGCCCGCACAAGCGGUGGAACAUGUGGUUUAAUUCGAAGCAACGCGAAGAACCUUACCAGGUCUUGACAUCCCGAUGCUAUUCCUAGAGAUAGGAAGUUUCUUCGGAACAUCGGUGACAGGUGGUGCAUGGUUGUCGUCAGCUCGUGUCCUGAGAUGUUGGGUUAAGUCCCGCAACGACCGCAACCCCUAUUGUUAGUUGCCAUCAUUAAGUUGGGCACUCUAGCGAGACUGCCCGUUAUAAACCGAAGAAAAGUUGGGGAUGAAGUCCAAUCAUCAAGCCCCCUAAAAACCGGGGCAACAACCGUGCUACAAUGGUUGGUUAAACAAAUUCCGCAGUCGUUUACGGCCCGCAAAUCUCU
RNAcentral lists this ribosomal RNA (1254 nucleotides) under Streptococcus equinus. RNAcentral's name for it is "bacterial SSU rRNA". It matches the Rfam family "Bacterial small subunit ribosomal RNA", at positions 39 to 1276 of the family's 1533-position model. Lineage: Bacteria; Bacillati; Bacillota; Bacilli; Lactobacillales; Streptococcaceae. The record is from RNAcentral.